Long non-coding RNA from Bos taurus (domestic cattle), 3124 nucleotides. The record is from Ensembl. Lineage: Eukaryota; Metazoa; Chordata; Mammalia; Artiodactyla; Bovidae.
CAGUCACUCAGUCAUGUCCGACUCUUCGCAACCCCAUGGACUGCAGCAUGCCAGGCCUCCCUGUCCAUCACCAACUCCUGGAGUUUACUCAAACUCAUGUCCAUUGAGUCAGUGAUGCCAUCCAACCAUCUCAUAGUUAAUAAUAUGCUCUUAAUAAAGUUUGUGCACCAAAUGAAUGAAAAACCUUAAAUUCCCACAUGGCUUUCUUUUUAUAUUCUUACUACUUUCCUAGAAUAUACAUAACAUAGUCAUUCUUAUUAUUGAAACAGCUAAUUCUUGGUUUCUUACCCCUUUUGUUUGUAUGCAGUCGACUGCCUAAGUCCUUGUAAAUUCUCAAUAGAGUAUAGAGUGAUGGUAGGAUGUUUUUCAUGGACAGUCUCGUUGAACUUGAGCUAUUUUUUACUUUGUUGAUUUUUCAGGCCAAGUUUUUAUCAUCCUUACAGAGACAGCCUUUCUUUGGCGAUAGCGGCGAAGCAGUAGGCUGCUCAAGGGCCAUUUCUAUCACCGGACCUCAUCUGUCAUGGUGUGUUUGUCUGAUAAACCUUUCCCUGCACAGAGCAAUAGGAAUCUCACCCCAGCUACACCCACUCCAGCCUAUUUCCUUAAUAAACAGAAGUAAGCCAAAGAGCUUCCAGCCUUGUGCUGUUUUAGCUGAGAAAAACCAGAAAGAGAAGGUCAGGAUGGAAUGCAACUCCCUUUCCUUUGUGACCUCCUCAAAGGAAGAUGAGAGAGCAGUGUGAGAUUUCUGAUUCCACCCAAAGAGGUGCGACUCGGCUUAGAGUUAAAACUCCCCAAACGCCUAUGAUGUGCGAGGGAAGUGAGUUAAAUGUUUGGCCUGGGAGCCAAUCCAGGGUUGAGUACCGGUUCUCCUGCUGACCAGCUUUAUGAAUGGAGCAGUUUAUUCUUAGGUCCUCUAGACUCCGGCUUCUUCCUGUUUAAGAUGGUGAUAACGAUAGCAUCUGUUUCAUUGGGAGAAUUACAUUUUUAAAAGUCUGCAAAGGGCUUACCUUCAUAUCUGGAGCAAGCACAAUUGUUGACUCUAACGAGCGCUCCUGGAACACCUACUGUGUGCCAAGAACCAUGCCACAGAACUAGGGCAUGCUCUGUAGUUUAAUCCCUAUGUCAGCCCGUUCUUCCCAAUAAGAACACCGAGGAUCAUAGAAGUUAAAGAGCAUGCUUCACGUUGCACAGUCAUCGGAGUGCUGGGAAUUUGGACCCGUAUCUCUCUCUCAGUAUUGUGGCCUCCUGAAAGCUUCAGUGCCCAAAUAACUGAAUCCAUCACACAGCCACGUCCCCGGUAGUAAACCCUUCCCCCUAGGUGAUUGGGGGGAUAAAAUGCAGGCGCAUUUAUCAAAGCAGAGAUGUGUUUAACCCCCUGGACACCUCACCUCCUCCAUGUUCUUUGGAGGACGUGCUCGGGCCGCCACCCCGGGGCUUGGCAGGGCUCAGGGGACUCAAUGCCUCCUGAGAGAUGCUUCCCCUGACCACACUCUCUGAGAUUGUUAUUCUUCCACACCACAGCUGCCUCCAAGGCAGUAUCAGAAUCAGGAAAUCACAGGUGUAUUUGUUUGAGUCCUUGCCGGCUACUCCCACUGCUGGAGAGGAGUCCAUGGCAGAGACUUUGGCUUUGUUCAAGCUGUAUCUGUAGCACACGGCCUAGCGCUCAGACGUGGGAGGGUCACAGUAGAUAUGCGACCCCUUUGCCAAUGAAGAGCCCUGACUCUUGAGAAAAGCCUGCAGUCCUGUCAGGCCAGCGUUGUGUUGGAGGAACCACACAGCCAGGCUUCCAGCAUCACUCUCAGAGGCUAAGAGCUCAUUGAAGUGCUCCUUUCAAGAUGUCAAGGGCAAGCAGCUGGGCUUGGGGGAAGUGCAGAGAUAAUUCUGCUGAGCCUUUGUUUCCCAGCCCGUCUGGCAAUCACCAGCACUGCGGCAACGACAGGAAAAGCCUUCAACGCCCACUUCCUUGCCACACAAGAGCCGCAUUUCUGAACUGGGUCAGCCGGGUGAGGCGUGGCCACCUGUAUGGACCUCCAGGCACGUGAAGCCACUCUUGCCGAAGACGUUUGGUUGGAGAAUUUUGGUUUUGUGGCUGUGUACACGUUCUGUCAUUGCAUGGCCUGUGAUGCAGAGAGCAUAUCUCUUCCCCCUGAAAAGCCUUGGCAGAGAGCUUUCAUUUUGGAGGAAGCUUAUUUCCGGGCAACCAUCUCCAGGGAAAAUGAGUGUGAGGCAGUAGGCAGUAAACAACAUCGUAUCCCAUAGGGACGGAGGUGACCCGAAUGAGCUCCGGAGCGAGUCCGUGAUAGCGGCAGAAUCAUUACAGUGUGUGCGCCUGCCCAAGUCCAUGUGUAAUUGUAAUGUAUAAUUAAUACAGAGCUAAAAUUAAACUCCUGGGUGAAAGAGACGGGCAGGCUGAGGAGGCUGAGGAAUAUCAACCUCUAAGAUACAGCUUGUUUAUGACAAAUGUAGGAUUGGGUUGCUCUUCAUUUCAGUGGGCGUGUGCCUGUGUUUUGGGUUGCUCUUUGCUAAUAUUUCAGCCUUGAGGAAUAAGGAUUCCACAGUUAUCCUCUUCCCAUUCCUUCCAACCCCAGGAAGAAACUCUCUUUCAAGUAACCUUGUCCUCAGGCCACUGAAGUACUUUGGUUUUUCCAGAUAAUUUUUCUCAAGUGACGAAACUCACAAGCAAACAGAGACAGGACACGCCCCUUUCCUGGUGCCAUUCCUUGGUGCGCUCUUGACCCUGACUUUGCCAUGAGUUUGCAGGCGUGUCACCUGAGGAGACUUCCAGCUCUCGCUCGUGAAUACGGCUCACAGCGCCCUCCACCAUUCUUUGGACCUUGAAGAGAGGUGACCACUGGUUGCCAUUGUGGCCCUUGAUGGUUAAUUAAAGUUUGAUUCUGGGAGCAGCGGUUUUUUUGAAACAACUCUCAGGGUAACUAAGCUUACUUCUACUUUUCAAACCCAGACUUCACGUUAGCCUCUGCAUUCUAUUUGUGCUAAAUGUGCAGUACUGAAGAAUUUAGAGAGAAGACAGUUUUUACUUCUCUUCUUUCCUAGUUGAUUGUUUGAAACUCACUGACAGGCUUGAGCUGAACCAUCGUCUGGUUCCGAAUUCCCACUUCAGCGU